AGCGAACGCUGGCGGCAGGCCUAACACAUGCAAGUCGAACGAACUCUUCGGAGUUAGUGGCGGACGGGUGAGUAACACGUGGGAACGUGCCUUUUGGUUCGGAAUAACUCAGGGAAACUUGUGCUAAUACCGAAUGUGCCCUUCGGGGGAAAGAUUUAUCGCCAUUAGAGCGGCCCGCGUCUGAUUAGCUAGUUGGUGAGGUAACGGCUCACCAAGGCGACGAUCAGUAGCUGGUCUGAGAGGAUGACCAGCCACACUGGGACUGAGACACGGCCCAGACUCCUACGGGAGGCAGCAGUGGGGAAUCUUGCGCAAUGGGCGAAAGCCUGACGCAGCCAUGCCGCGUGAAUGAUGAAGGUCUUAGGAUUGUAAAAUUCUUUCACCGAGGACGAUAAUGACGGUACCCGGAGAAGAAGCCCCGGCUAACUUCGUG
RNAcentral lists this ribosomal RNA (433 nucleotides) under uncultured bacterium. RNAcentral describes it as "partial 16S ribosomal RNA". It matches the Rfam family "Bacterial small subunit ribosomal RNA", at positions 29 to 507 of the family's 1533-position model. The record is from RNAcentral.